UGCAGCUUUGUCAAAUUCAGUGCCCCGUCAUUGGUAGGUCGCACUGGCCAAAACAGCUGCCACAGUGUCUGUAGUUCAUGGGCCCCACUUUACCUCACUGUGGAUUGAGGGGAUAAAUAUGUACUACAAACAAAA
Molecule: small nucleolar RNA, 135 nt
Organism: Labrus bergylta (ballan wrasse)
Lineage: Eukaryota; Metazoa; Chordata; Actinopteri; Labriformes; Labridae
Product: small nucleolar RNA SNORA5
Source: Ensembl